RNAcentral lists this ribosomal RNA (2871 nucleotides) under Triticum aestivum (bread wheat). RNAcentral's name for it is "partial small subunit ribosomal RNA". Lineage: Eukaryota; Viridiplantae; Streptophyta; Magnoliopsida; Poales; Poaceae. The record is from RNAcentral.
AUGUUCGGCGCUAGCAAUCCAUUUGGGCAGUCGUCCGCCAGCCCUUUCGGGCAGACCUCAACCAACCCCUUCGGGACCCAACAGGGCUUUGGCCAGCCCAGCACCACCACCAACAAUCCCUUCGCGCCCAAACCCUUCGGCAGCCCGACCCCCGCAUUCGGGGCGCCAACAGGGACCACCUCGCCCUUCGGCGCUACCUCCACCUUUGGCCAGCCAUCCGCUCCGGCCUUUGGCGCCACGUCCACUGGCGCCUUUGGCCAGCAGUCUGCCCCGGCCUUUGGCGCUACGUCCACUGGCGCCUUCGGCCAGCAAUCCACCCCUGCGUUUGGCUCUACAUCCACUGGCGCCUUCGGCCAGCAACCCGCGUUUGGUGCUACAUCGACCGGCGCCUUUGGCCAGCCAUCCACACCUGCAUUUGGCACCCCGUCCUCCUCUCCGUUUGGGAGCUCCACGCCAGCUUUUGGUACAUCGCCAGCCCCCGCGUUUGGCGCCACAUCCUCUAACAACUUUGGCGGUGGAUCUUUAUUCGGACAAAAGCCAAGCUUUGGUGGGUUUGGAUCAUCUCCUAGCCAGUCUAGUCCAUUUGGUAGCACAUUUCAGCAAACACAGCCAACAUUUGGCAACAGCACUUUUGGCACCACAACUACGCCGGCCUUUGGUACCACAACAACUCCAGCAUUUGGCUCCACAACGACUCCAGCAUUUGGCUCAACAUCAACAUCCUUAUUUGGUGGUGCUUCCAGCACCCCAGCAUUUGGUUCGACGCCCUUUGGUUCCACCACAACUCCUGGUUUUGGAUCUUCAGGUACCGGAGCAUUUGGUGUGAGUAGUGCUCCAGCUUUUGGAACUUCAACCACACCAGCAAGUGCUUUUGGUUUUGGUUCUUCACCGUCUUUUGGACAAUCAGCAGCUGCAACUGGUAGCAGCCUCUUCGGAACAACUUCACCCUUUGGAGCACAAACUUCUCCAUUUGGCUCGCAAACAGCUGCACCAGCAUUCGGGCAAACUACGUUUGGAAGUCAAUCUGGAGGAACCAGAAUACAGCCUUAUGUACAAACACCUGAUGCUGACACUGCUGCAAGUGGUUCUCAGCCUGCUGCAAAACUUGAUUCCAUAUCAGCCAUGCCUGCAUACAAAGAGAAGAGUCAUGAAGAAUUGAGGUGGGAAGAUUACCAGCGUGGGGACAAAGGUGGACCAAACUCUUCUGCAACUCCAGCAGUGAACAACUUCUUAUCUCCACAGCCAAGUUUCCAACCAAAUCAACCAGCACCAGUGAAUCCAUUUACUAACCCCUCACCCUCACCUUUUUCGAGUGCUUUUGCUACUACUCCGAACCCGUUUUCAUCGUCCACAACUACUACCUCCUCGUUUGGACAAACAAGUGGUUCUACCUUCCCAGCAAACACUUCAUCUUCUCUAUUUGGAAAUAAUUCCACUACUUCACUAUUCAACAACCCAAAUCCUUUCAAUGCUGGGUCAUCCACUAGUAAUAGCACUCAAUCAUCUGGGCUGUUUACGUCUUCCCCUACAAUGGGGCAGCAGCCAUUUGGCCACUCAUUUAACCAGCAAUCAAGCACUCCAGCUUUCUCCACCAGUAUGUUCAAUACAUCUAACAUCGGAAUCACUGGAGGUGGAGGGAUGUUUGGCAACACGUCUUCACCUUUUCAAACAUCAUCAUUUCAACAAUCUACCCCUGUUCAACCUACAAACUCGUUCUCAUUCCAACCUCAGACUCAACCAGCUUUGACAGGUGGAUUCUCUGGUGUUUCCAACCCGAUGAAUAUGGCUCCAUUCGGACAGCAAACUACUAGCCAGUCCAAUAUGGUAAUGCAGCCGACUCUUGUUUCAAAUCCCUUUGGGACCCUUCCAGCAAUGCCUCAGAUGUCCAUUGGGAAUGGUGGAUCCUCACCUUCUAUCCAAUAUGGGAUAUCAAGUUUGCCGGUUGCUGAGAAGCCCCUUCCGAGCAGAACAUUAUCAAUGGUGGUUCCUAGGCAUUUGUCACAGAGGAGGAUAAAGCUGCUGCCACGAAAAUAUAAUGCAACAUCUGAUGGCAAGGUUCCAUUCUUUGCUGAUGAUGAAGAAUCCCCUGUAACACCAAAAGCGGAUGCCUUUUUCAUCCCUAGAGAGAACCCAAGAAGUCUGAUAAUCCGUCCAACAGACCAGUGGCCUUCACGUAGUUUGGUUGGCCAACAAUCAAUUCCAAGGGAUUCAACUGAUAAUGACAAACAUAAAGAUGCUUUUGUUGGGAGGGAGCACAAUAAGGCUGCCAUGACACCAACUCGGUCUGGUACAGUGGGGAAUGGUAUCCACAUUGCAUCAAGCGAGCCUGGGGCUGUGGCUCGGCAUGUGAAUGGUGCUACUGUUGAGAAGAUGGUGCCUAGGCUCUCCCAGGCAGAUUACUUCAUGGAGCCCAGUCUAGAGGAGCUUGCUGCCAAAGAACGUGCUGAGCCAGGCUACUGUAGUCAGGUUGUAGACUUCAUUGUUGGGCGUGAAGGUUAUGGCAGCAUCAAAUUCUUGGGAGAAACUGAUGUGAGGGGCCUUGAUCUGGAGUCGAUUGUGGAAUUCAAUAACCGUGAAGUGAUUGUGUACAAGGACGAUAGCAAGAAGCCCCCAGUUGGCGAGGGCCUGAACAAAGCUGCUUUGGUGACCCUCCUGAACAUCAAGUGCAUGAAUAAGAAGACGGGUGAGCAGUACACGCAAGGGCCAAGGUUGGACAAGUUCAAGGAGAUGUUGGUGAAGAAGGCUGAGGAGCAGGGAGUGGAGUUUAUCUCGUUUGACGGUGCCAAGGGCGAGUGGAAGUUCAGGGUGAAGCACUUCAGCUCCUACGGUUUUGGUGAAGCCGAAGCCGACGACCUGGCCGAUUCCUUGUAG